GGCGGUUCUCAGGUAAUGCACCCCAGAAUCAGACUCCCUCCUUUGUGGUUCUGGGUACAUCACCUGAGAACCGCC
Myotis davidii is the source of this 75-nucleotide non-coding RNA. NCBI's taxonomy places the organism in Eukaryota, Metazoa, Chordata, Mammalia, Chiroptera, Vespertilionidae. The record is from Rfam.